This 562-nucleotide small RNA is filed under the name Pan troglodytes (chimpanzee). RNAcentral describes it as "processed transcript". The record is from RNAcentral. Lineage: Eukaryota; Metazoa; Chordata; Mammalia; Primates; Hominidae.
GAGAAUAUAUAAAAAACUGGAGGCCAAGAUACUUCCUUUUGAAGACAGAUGGCUCAUUCAUAGGAUAUAAAGAGAAACCUCAAGAUGUGGAUUUACCUUAUCCCCUCAACAACUUUUCAGUGGCAAGUAGUGUUAUGUUCAGAUAUUUGCAGAAUUUAACCUUAAACCAAGUUUAGAAUUGGGAAUGGAGAAAACCGUUGUAAAAAUUAUUUUAAAAUGAGAUCAUUUUAAAGAAAACUAUAAUGUAACAAUGUCACAUAUUUCCUUCUUCAGGCUCCAAUUCAAAUCAUACUCCAAUUUGAAAAGAACAAAAAUUCCACAAAAUGUUCAUUCUUUCCUACUUUUUCCUUACGUUAUACAACAAAUGUGGAAAGAAAAAAAAAACAGAAAAAGUGUAUCCCAUCUUAAUGAAAAUGACUGCGGCAGUCAAGAGUUUCAAAUCCAGCUGCUGGGGGUGAAAGCAACCCUCUGCAUCUCUGAAAGAUUUCAUCAGUGUUAUCUCCUUUAUAAUCAUAACUUUUCAUGUGUAUCAUCUGAGUUUCUUAUUAAAUAAUCUCACUAU